RNAcentral lists this ribosomal RNA (468 nucleotides) under uncultured bacterium. RNAcentral's name for it is "partial 16S ribosomal RNA". It matches the Rfam family "Bacterial small subunit ribosomal RNA", at positions 28 to 507 of the family's 1533-position model. The record is from RNAcentral.
GACGAACGCUGGCGGCGUGCUUAACACAUGCAAGUCGAACGGAAAGGCCCUGCUUUUGUGGGGUGCUCGAGUGGCGAACGGGUGAGUAACACGUGAGUAACCUGCCCUUGACUUUGGGAUAACUUCAGGAAACUGGGGCUAAUACCGGAUAGGAGCUCCUGCUGCAUUGUGGGGGUUGGAAAGUUUCGGCGGUUGGGGAUGGACUCGCGGCUUAUCAGCUUGUUGGUGGGGUAGUGGCUUACCAAGGCUUUGACGGGUAGCCGGCCUGAGAGGGUGACCGGCCACAUUGGGACUGAGAUACGGCCCAGACUCCUACGGGAGGCAGCAGUGGGGAAUAUUGCACAAUGGGCGGAAGCCUGAUGCAGCAACGCCGCGUGCGGGAUGACGGCCUUCGGGUUGUAAACCGCUUUCGCCUGUGACGAAGCGUGAGUGACGGUAAUGGGUGAAGAAGCACCGGCUAACUACGUG